This 1193-nucleotide long non-coding RNA is filed under the name Vulpes vulpes (red fox). RNAcentral's name for it is "lncRNA (ENSVVUG00000025707.1)". Lineage: Eukaryota; Metazoa; Chordata; Mammalia; Carnivora; Canidae. The record is from RNAcentral.
AAAUAUUCUAAGAUAACAAUGAAAUCAAAUGAUACUAGUCCUUAGCUUUGGAAGUCAUUGAAAAUAGGGCUAAAACUGACAUUCUUGGUAUUUAAAACCCAGAAGAUCUUUCCCUAGGUUUAGAGAAAAGGGGUUCUGAAUAAAUAUAUUCACUUCUAGCAUGUGGGAGAGAGAAUAUGCAAUUUGAAAAAAAAAAACAAAAACAAAAACCAUAACCUAAACUAGAAGUUUCAAAAGUCCAGAGAUUGUUUCAUUCACUAAAUAUCCCGGGGAAAUAGCUAUGAAUAUUUAAUAAUAGCAGAAACUACUUGCACUGUGCAAGUCAUCAGGUCAAACAGAAAUUCUGUGAACUUUGAAUUUUCCCUGGAAAUGAUCAAGAGACCAGAAGCUCAGUGGCAAUGAGCACCAGAAGUUUCUGUCUGUAAACACGAAAGUGGGGGAGUCGUCAAAGAUUAUGCAUGGGUAGGAGCAACCCAACCAUUUCUGGUCUUCAUUGUGAACUGUCUUACUAAGUGGCUUUCACACUUCAUACCUCAGCUCUUGUGAUAAAUAUGACCAUUAAUGAUGUUUUAAAUGGUGGUAAAGAUAUUUGCAAAUGUCCUGUGUGCUAUGUAGUUUAAAUUUUCUUUGCAGAUUUGAGUUUUGUUUUAGAAGAAAAUCACAAAAUGUUUACAAUAUAGAUUGGAAACCACAUCGAAUAUGCAUAAAACAGUUGGAGAAUAAUCAAAUGGUAAACUCUGCCACAGAGUUUCCCUACGCCAAAGCAUUUCAGAGAAGAAAGGAGACCCGGAGAGAUCCCAUGAUCCUUUCAGGACUGCACAAAUUCAAAACAAUUUCCAUAAUAACACUAACAUGGCAUUUUAUGUUUUUACUCUUAUAUCCUCACAAGUAUACAGUUGAGAUCUUUGGAAAAUAUAUGAUGUGGGAUAUUGCAACAAAUUGAAUCCAGAAUCAGAUAAGAAAAUCCAGCUGUCUUCUAUUAAACCAGACAUUAAAGAGAUUUGUGAAAAUGUAAAACAAUGCCAUUCUCAGUAAAAAUGUUUUUGAUUUGAGCAUUAAAAGUCUUCUUAUUAAAAAAAAUACGUUUACAUUUACAUGUAAUUGAUUUAUUAUUGUUGUUUUAAAGGAAUACAUAAACACAUAUUUUAAGAUUUUCCCAGUUUUUAAUUUUGUAAACAAUAAAUGUAAAUAAC